UGGUUCGGGCUGUCGGCGGCAUC
RNAcentral lists this non-coding RNA (23 nucleotides) under Arabidopsis thaliana (thale cress). Lineage: Eukaryota; Viridiplantae; Streptophyta; Magnoliopsida; Brassicales; Brassicaceae. The record is from RNAcentral.